CUCUCUCCCUCCUGUCCCCUCUCUAAAAAAAAAAUUACCAUUUUUCACGUGUUGCCCAGUGUAUCUCAGAGUCACGUUCGACGAGGCCUUGUCCAGCAACAAAAAUUAAUAAAAUUGAAAAGGAAUUGCCAUCCUGAGUUGCAUGUCAAGGGACAUGAAGGUGGAUACACUUUACAACCACAGUAAAACCAGUGUAACGCCCUCCAGGUUUCCGUUCCACAAAGCUGCUCUCCACCUACACUCACUGAAACUCUCCCCCUCAGUCUGGGCUGAGAGGUGUUUUUCACCUGCUGCACUAACUGCCAGCUUUGUGAGGCCUGUCUAGGCCCCUGGAGGGUCAGGCCCCAAGACCCGGGAGCAACGAGCCCUGGGAGGGGCAGCUCCACUCUCACAACGAAGGCUUUUCUCCCCGAGUUGCCUUGGAGAAUUUCCAGUGGAGGAAAUGACCUACCCCGAUGCAUGCCUGUCUUCCCUAGUGCAGCUCUCCCACUAUUUAUUUUGUCAUAAAGUCCCCUUUGAUGGUUUAGAAUUACAAAUAAAUUAUAAACUUAUAAUGAUAAAUAAAGUAUAAUUGUCCUUUCCCCUGAUUAUACAACAAAAAAUAAUGACUAUAUUUUAUUAACCUCAUUUGGAACUUUUAUUCUUUCAGAAAUUUGCAUAAAUUAUAUUUUAAAUUACUUUCCAACACAUUUUUACUUAAUUAAGAUGUUCUUACUGUUGCGCUUUUCUUUUUUACCACAUGGCCUGGUUUCUUAUCCGAAAGAGUCCACUAGGUCUGGGCCACCAAGAAUGGGUUAGGGCAUCACCAUUAUCUGUAAGCUUUGUUUCUACUAUUUUUAUUUAUUCAUCAUGGAUGUUAUAGUUUUUAUUUUUGUAUACUGAUGAGGUAAAAUUCUAAGCUUGGGGGCAGCUUGGGGUUUUAAAAGAGCGUUUGUAUUUCCUUUUGUGUGUGUUGUCUGAUUACUUAAGUAAUGGGGGGAUGGAUAGCUCCCCCAAAAUCAAUGGAAAAUGUGGGGGUUUGGCCUUAGUCAAUGUUAAAGCAAAAGUUAUUCACAAAGACACAGUUAAAGAACAUCAAGGAAGACUUUAUUCAAGACCGUUGCAAAGGAAGAGAGAGACUGAACUCAGCUCUGAAUGCAGCCUGUGGAGGGUAGUGGGAUUCCUGUGAAAGGCAGGCCAAGGACUUGGAUAUCAAGGGUAGGGAGUGAAAAACUGGUCAGAUAUCAAGAAUAGGGAUUCUUGCUAACCUGGAUUGUUUGCUAAAACUCAAGUUCAGCACAUUAAGGUCAAGGCCUAGCGGAGAAGAGGGCUCAGAGCAGCUUGAAUGCAUUAGUCAAACAGGGAGUCUGCCUUUGUACCUGAGAGGAGAGAACUGGGCCGGUCAGCCUGUGCCAGUCCCUAAAAGGACCCAGAGUGGAGAUGACCACCCUGAGCCCAGACUGCUGGCAUGGACACCAGCCACAUGGCCCAAGGCUGAUGGAGUCCUGUAACCCAGCACCUCAUGCGUGGGCAGCACCUGCCCACUACAAAUUAUCACUAGCAUGCCGCUCUGAUGACGUACCCCAGUUACCACAUCUUUCAAUGGGAACUCCUCAAGCAUCUACUCUCAAGAACUCUGUCUCAGAAAAGACGAGCACUGCAGUCCCUCGGGAGAGCUGGGGAAAGCCAGGCUUUCGGGAGCUGUUGGCUAGAGUGUUUGUAAAGGGCUGAAGUGAGGAAGGCUGAUCAAGGACAGGAAUGAGGCUCUUUGAGUUUUGAUUAAAAAUUGCCAUUUUCCGAGCAGUUCUCUGAGGAAAGCUGAGAAGAUAUCUGAAUCUCCUACUCUAUGAUGUUGAUCCUAAUUUAUAAUUCUCUUUACUGUGUUUGCUGUCUCCUUUCCUUAGCAGCAAGCCUUUUCUGAGCCCAUAAACGUGACCCCAAAAAUCUACUUUUCCCCUGAUUUUGUUCUCUGUUCCCAUUGGCCUCCUGGUU
Long non-coding RNA from Phyllostomus discolor (pale spear-nosed bat), 1971 nucleotides. RefSeq lists it as uncharacterized. The transcript has 2 exons. Lineage: Eukaryota; Metazoa; Chordata; Mammalia; Chiroptera; Phyllostomidae. The record is from RefSeq and is a predicted model, not a curated record.